GGAGCACUUUGGUGAAGUAUCUCUUGGUGACCAUUCCAUAUCGUUGACCAAAAUCUGCUCCACUUCCUUAGGCGCACAGAUGCAGAACAAUUUAUAUCACAGGGUCUCAUGGAAGAAUUUCUGGAGUAGGGAUCACAUAUGGUGUAAAAUAGAUUUUAAUUACCACCCACAACAUUUUCUUCGUU
This is a long non-coding RNA of Triticum dicoccoides, 185 nucleotides long. RefSeq lists it as uncharacterized. NCBI's taxonomy places the organism in Eukaryota, Viridiplantae, Streptophyta, Magnoliopsida, Poales, Poaceae. The record is from RefSeq and is a predicted model, not a curated record. The transcript has 3 exons.